This 901-nucleotide ribosomal RNA is filed under the name uncultured bacterium. Its description in RNAcentral is "bacterial SSU rRNA". It matches the Rfam family "Bacterial small subunit ribosomal RNA", at positions 100 to 987 of the family's 1533-position model. The record is from RNAcentral.
GGACGGGUGAGUAACACGUGGGUAACCUGCCUGUAAGACUGGGAUAACUCCGGGAAACCGGAGCUAAUACCGGAUAGUUCCUUGAACCGCAUGGUUCAAGGAUGAAAGACGGUUUCGGCUGUCACUUACAGAUGGACCCGCGGCGCAUUAGCUAGUUGGUGAGGUAACGGCUCACCAAGGCGACGAUGCGUAGCCGACCUGAGAGGGUGAUCGGCCACACUGGGACUGAGACACGGCCCAGACUCCUACGGGAGGCAGCAGUAGGGAAUCUUCCGCAAUGGACGAAAGUCUGACGGAGCAACGCCGCGUGAGUGAUGAAGGUUUUCGGAUCGUAAAGCUCUGUUGUUAGGGAAGAACAAGUGCAAGAGUAACUGCUUGCACCUUGACGGUACCUAACCAGAAAGCCACGGCUAACUACGUGCCAGCAGCCGCGGUAAUACGUAGGUGGCAAGCGUUGUCCGGAAUUAUUGGGCGUAAAGGGCUCGCAGGCGGUUUCUUAAGUCUGAUGUGAAAGCCCCCGGCUCAACCGGGGAGGGUCAUUGGAAACUGGGAAACUUGAGUGCAGAAGAGGAGAGUGGAACUCCACGUGUAGCGGUGAGAUGCGUAGAGAUGUGGAGGAAUACCAGUGGCGAAGGCGGCCUUCUGGACUGACACUGACACUGAGGUGCGAAAGCGUGGGUAGCAAACAGGAUUAGAUACCCUGGUAGUCCACGCCGUAAACGAUGUCGACCAGCCGUUGGGUGCCUAGCGCACUUUGUGGCGAAGUUAACGCGAUAAGUCGACCGCCUGGGGAGUACGGCCGCAAGGUUAAAACUCAAAUGAAUUGACGGGGGCCCGCACAAGCGGUGGAGCAUGUGGUUUAAUUCGAUGCAACGCGAAGAACCUUACCUACUCUUGACAU